UAAGUACCUUCAUCCAAGGUUUCAUAGCGAACCAGGUCAGAUCGUGAUUGAAGCAGCCUUAAACUUUUUGCAACUUGUGGGUGGGGGGACUUAAGA
RNAcentral lists this signal recognition particle RNA (96 nucleotides) under Bacilli bacterium. RNAcentral's name for it is "signal recognition particle sRNA small type". It matches the Rfam family "Bacterial small signal recognition particle RNA". From Rfam's summary of the family: The signal recognition particle (SRP) is a universally conserved ribonucleoprotein involved in the co-translational targeting of proteins to membranes. Lineage: Bacteria; Bacillati; Bacillota; Bacilli. The record is from RNAcentral.